Molecule: transfer RNA, 73 nt
Filed under: Bos taurus (domestic cattle)
Lineage: Eukaryota; Metazoa; Chordata; Mammalia; Artiodactyla; Bovidae
Also listed under: 3 other names
Rfam family: tRNA
About the family: Transfer RNA (tRNA) molecules are approximately 80 nucleotides in length.
Source: Rfam by way of RNAcentral
UCCCUGGUGGUCUAGUGGAUAGGACUCUGCACUCCCAAUGCAAGAGGCCUGGGUUCGAUCCCUGAUCAGAGAA